Molecule: long non-coding RNA, 670 nt
Organism: Engraulis encrasicolus (European anchovy)
Lineage: Eukaryota; Metazoa; Chordata; Actinopteri; Clupeiformes; Engraulidae
Exons: 4
Source: RefSeq, a predicted model, not a curated record
UUUAUGAUUUGUCAAUCCUUUGGGCUCUUUAUGUCUUUUCAGAUCAGUGCUGAAUUCAAAAUAAUCACCACAGUUCCCCUGCAAUCCAAGCAACUGUUGCUGAAUUGGCUGAUUUGUACAAGAUGCACCAUUUCUGAGGACUUCUGGCACAGUGGCCUGCACUGUUCAAAGUUCGCAAGAUCAGUGCUGAAUUGAAAAGAAUCACCAGUCCCACUGCAAUGGCCAGCACUGUUCGAAGUCCACAAGGUCAUGGAUGAAGUUGCCGUAGACGAAGCAAUUGAAGACAUCACAAUUGGAAUCUGCUCUGACAGAAGAUUGGGCAUCCCACCCUUUGGACAUUGUCAGUUUUAGUGUAUGUCUGUCACACACGAGACACCCAAUCGGAAAGGACUCUUUUUAUUUUUUUCAGCAACUAAAAAACAGCAGUUAUUUUUGUUUCUUUAAGUGAAAUGUACCUUUUUUCUAGAGAUCUAUUUGCUUGCAUGCACUUCCAGCUCCUUGCUGGUUUAAGAAUAGCACUUGAGUGUGCAUAUGUUUUGUACGUACUGUGUUGAUUUUGACCCAAACUAAAGACAAACAAAAUACCAAAACUAGACUUAAAUAAGACUGGGUAAUGACACAAAUGUGGUCACCAAAGAGGACAACCAAAUGAAUGGUGGACUGCCAGAUG